CGUUACGGCGGCUGUGCGUGGGACGCCCUUGGGCGUGCCGGUUUCCUUGGUUUCCCGGUUUACCACCCUGCGCACAGCUGCCACCCUU
Molecule: non-coding RNA, 88 nt
Filed under: Pseudomonas sp. SJZ080
Lineage: Bacteria; Pseudomonadati; Pseudomonadota; Gammaproteobacteria; Pseudomonadales; Pseudomonadaceae
Source: RNAcentral